This 120-nucleotide ribosomal RNA is filed under the name Aspergillus clavatus NRRL 1. Lineage: Eukaryota; Fungi; Ascomycota; Eurotiomycetes; Eurotiales; Aspergillaceae. The record is from RNAcentral.
ACAUACGACCAUAGGGUGUGGAGAACAGGGCUUCCCGUCCGCUCAGCCGUACUUAAGCCACGCGCCGGCCGGUUAGUAGUUGGGUGGGUGACCACCAGCGAAUCCCGGCUGUUGUAUGUU